This is a long non-coding RNA of Oxyura jamaicensis (ruddy duck), 702 nucleotides long. RefSeq lists it as uncharacterized. NCBI's taxonomy places the organism in Eukaryota, Metazoa, Chordata, Aves, Anseriformes, Anatidae. The transcript is spliced from 2 exons. The record is from RefSeq and is a predicted model, not a curated record.
AUAUAAACAGCGUUUGCAGAGGGGCGCGGGGAGGAGGGGGAGCUGCCUCAGCUUGGCAGGUCCUGGAGUUAUAGCUGCCUUUUUUUUUUUUUUUUUUUUUUUUUUUCUGUAUUUUGUUUCUAAUUUCCAGAGGAAAUUUAAUUUCGGGAAAAAGUGGCGCAAAGCUCCGAGCCGGAGGAAAACCGCAGCUGACGAAGGGGGGUCCGGAGAAAGACGCGAGGCGAAAGGAAGAGCGAAGGGCUGUACUUACAGUGGCACUGGGCUGGGCACGAGGGCGCCGCACCUGGCUCCGCGGCCACCGCUUGGAAGCGGGCAGAGGAGGCCAGGAGGACGCCCCAGAAGAGCUGCUCCAUCCUCGCCGGGCUGCAGCGGUGGGGAGCGUGCGAGGAGCCGCGGGCUCGCCCCGUCCCCGGGCUGGGCUGCACCCAGGGGAGCUCCCAGGUCCCUCACUGGCAGCGGGCACCGUGCCUCCCGCGGUUCGGAGAGGAGUAAGGAUGCAGGCAGGGAAGGGAAGGCAUUGUUGAAUGAUCUUGGUUAUUGGGUUUCAAGGGCUGGGCAGGGGCGUGAGACACUCCAAUGGGAGGAGUUAAACUUUCUACUCUUUCCCUCUCUCUCUCUCUCUUAGAGCUGGCAGGAAUUUCAUUCAAAGGGAAGAAAGGAGAAAAAAAAAAAAAAAAAAAAAAAAAAAGAAAGAAAAAGAAA